UACGUAGGGGGCAAGCGUUGUUCGGAAUUACUGGGCGUAAAGGGCGCGUAGGCGGCCUGGCAAGUCGGGAGUGAAAGCCCGGGGCUCAACCCCGGAACUGCUUUCGAAACUGCCGAGCUAGAGUGCGGAAGAGGCAACUGGAAUUCCCAGUGUAGCGGUGAAAUGCGUAGAUAUUGGGAAGAACACCGGAGGCGAAGGCGGGUUGCUGGGCCGACACUGACGCUGAGGCGCGAAAGCCAGGGGAGCGAACGGG
This 253-nucleotide ribosomal RNA is filed under the name uncultured bacterium. Its description in RNAcentral is "partial 16S ribosomal RNA". It matches the Rfam family "Bacterial small subunit ribosomal RNA", at positions 524 to 776 of the family's 1533-position model. The record is from RNAcentral.